This is a long non-coding RNA of Bombyx mori (domestic silkworm), 1252 nucleotides long. RefSeq lists it as uncharacterized. Lineage: Eukaryota; Metazoa; Arthropoda; Insecta; Lepidoptera; Bombycidae. The record is from RefSeq and is a predicted model, not a curated record. The transcript is spliced from 2 exons.
UUUUUUUUUUUAUUGCCCUUAUAGGCAGACGAGCAUACGGCCCACCUGAUGGUGAGUGGUUACCGUCGCCCAUGGACUUCAGCAAUGCCAGGGGCAGAGCCAAGCCGCUGCCUACCGUUAAAUUCGGAACUUGAAAUUUAGAAGACAUGUAGAUUUGUGUUCGUCCCGUCGAAGCGCAAAGAAUGAUUCAUAAUAGUUGUUCGCAAUUCUUUAUACUGAUUAUACGACCACCAUCACGUCCGGGUCACCAAUUUAAGGUAAUAAAAAACAGGAAGAUGAUAUUGCAUAAUAUGAUAUUGCUCUAUAUAUCGACUGUCUAUAUGUUAGGAGCUUGUACAAUACGCAAACUUAUCUUGAAAAUAUUGUGACCACUGUUCAAGUUAUUGUCAAAUACCCUCUAUUUUACGAUAACUACCGCUACAUGUCAACGACCUGCAGAGACGUAUUCCCAAUUUUUUUUAAAUUUAAACUUGUACAUUGCUUAAACUAUUUCGCUCCGAUAUUCAUCACGCCUUCAAGGAAUCUGGGUAUUUAAUUGCAUGCUUCCACCACAAGUUACUUGUGAAUAUCGUUAUUUUAACAACAGGAAUAACCGAACUCAAAUAGAACAAGCAUAUCUACUGGGAACCUUUAAAACACAACAUGGACUUCAAAGGAACACACGGAUAAAACUUACUUAUCUAUUUAAUGGUGACAUCUGAAAAUUAUUGAGAUAUUGUUUCAGUAUCUAGACAAAUACAUAAAUGUUUUAUGAAGACCUAAGAAAUUUUCGGUACCAGCUAAGUUCAGGGGACUUUACAAUGUCAAAAGCUCACCUGUACCACUGUAACAUAGCACCGGUAAUAAGACAACCGCCUGGCAUUUGGAAUGACAUUCUACCGAAAACAUUCUGCAGCUCCCCGCUGUCUGGAUGGAAUGCUGAUUCAUAAAGCUGUUUCGCCUUAAUUACUUGCUCUAAUUUUGUCCCUGGCUGCUCACGACCUGCUCUGAACAUUGAAUUAGAAAAAUAUGAUCAAAUAUGUAAAAUUAAUAUUGCCUUUGUUUGUAUUAUAUAUACUUCAACUUUCUACUCAAUCGUAAAUGCUACUCAUAUGUCUAGUAAACCAAACAACAUUUAAUAUAACAAUAUUUACAGUUAAUCUCCCAUUUUAUUGUUAUUGGUCUGUGACCACAAAAAAAGUAAUAUUCAAAAUGUCAAGAAUAGUAAUAUGACAAAUAAAAAUGCAAUAUUAAACUAGACAAGUACUUUUCA